This 663-nucleotide long non-coding RNA is filed under the name Nicotiana benthamiana. RNAcentral describes it as "long non-coding RNA (NBEN_LNC042249)". Lineage: Eukaryota; Viridiplantae; Streptophyta; Magnoliopsida; Solanales; Solanaceae. The record is from RNAcentral.
CUUAAUUUAAAUUUUAAAACGCACCAAUAAUACAAUCAUUGAAAUUAGUGAAGAAACAAAAAGCGAGAAGAAAUUAGUACUACUACAAUAAAAAAAUUGGAAAUAUAAAAUCUCAUUAAUAAUCGACACUGACAUUAUCCAUGGAUUUUCUCUGAGACUCUUCAAAUUCGAUUUCAAAAAACAGAAUCGAAAUAGAAAAAGAAGAUCCACAAGUGAAGCUAAAGAGGUAAUGACAGAGAUCAGUACUCACCUUCUUAACAAAAGAAGCCUUCUCGACGAGCUUCUUCAACAUACUCAUAAAUACACACACACACACUCACUUGUGCUGCUCGGAGAACUCAGUCAAUGUGAAGAUCGAAGUUUUUUGAAUUAAACAAAAAUGGAGAAAGGAAGAAAAAUGGGGGAGUAUUGGGUGAGCGUUUAUUUAAUACCGAGGAAAAGAAAUGCCAAAAACAAGAGAGAGACAGAGAGAGAGAGAAGAGCAAAGGGGAGACGGCAGUUGAUUUUUACCGUUUCGUUUUUGUGAUUGGACAAGGAUAGACCGGUGUUUUAUUUUGUAAUUUUUGUGUCUUUCUUAUUCAAUUAGGGACACGUGGAGGCUGAUGAGGUUGAUCCGAAGAUUGCGAGAGAGAAACGGGUUGGACGGUGCCAUCGGGUAUCAAC